This is a long non-coding RNA of Athalia rosae (coleseed sawfly), 1286 nucleotides long. RefSeq lists it as uncharacterized. The record is from RefSeq and is a predicted model, not a curated record. The transcript is spliced from 6 exons. NCBI's taxonomy places the organism in Eukaryota, Metazoa, Arthropoda, Insecta, Hymenoptera, Athaliidae.
AUGCUGCGUGCAAACUGGCUUGAAACAACGCUUUGGUCAGUCUGUCCCAUAUGUCAAUCUGUCAUAUAUGAUGUUAAUGAAUCAAAUCUAGUAUCUUCAAUUUAUUCGAUAAAAAUUUGAACACCACAACUACAAUGAUAAAAUUUUAGCUUUCAAACAUUUGUCGGAGUCCUUAGACCAGUGUGGAAUAAACGCUCUUAGGCUGGAGUAGUCGAAAAGAUAACAGAGAAUAAAAUAUGGUUGAUGCCCACGAUGGGACAUUGAUCGACGGGACAAAUGAUUCGUCCAUUGAUUUGAACGAGAAUGGAAAAAGGGCGUUAAUUGUUAUGGCUGAAGGUGUAGAUCUUCUAGAUAUAAAACGAAUAAGAAAUGUACUGAGGAAGGGUGGUGUAGAAGCUGUCAUAGCAAGUUUAGAUGACUUUUCUCCGUGUGAAGUAGCGGUAACGUUUUUUAUCAGGUCGACAUAAAGCUUUCCACUGCUUUGAAAGAGCCAGCAUUUGAUGUACUUGUUUUAUCUGGUGGUCUCAUGGAAGCAAAGCUGCUCGGAGAGAAAUAGUUGGUGCGCUACUAAAAAAAUAUGAAGAAGAUUAUGGGUGGGUUGUUGCGAUAGGAAAGGGUCUAUCUGUACUACAAGAACAUUUCAUUGGAGUUGGGAAAAUGCUAACAUGGCAUCCAUCGAUUGAACAUAAAAUUGAAGGAUCCAAGUGUAUGAAAUACAAGUAUAUCGCCGACGACGUUUUCGUUGACGUCAUUAUGUUUUGAUAUUUUCAAUUCAUCUCCAAUCAUUAUUUCUCUCAUUAUGCAAAAAUCUUCAGUCGUAGUGCAGCAGAGAACGUUGCUAGAAAGUUGUCUAUUGAAUAUAACGACGGAUACUGUCCCGAUUGAUGCAGCAGUUGUAUACAAAGAAAUCGAACCUGAUAUUGCGGAUCGUUUUGCACGCCCAGCUUGCUGUAAUGCAGAUGAUCCAAAUGUAGCUGAAUGGGAAGAAAACAGAAUUAUCGAGGAUAUAUUACAAAGAGAAUACAUAUACAAUAGAAUGCAAGCUCAGGUGGGGGGAACUUGAAGACAAACCAAAAGACAAGCUUAUAGAAAGAGAACAAUUGAAAAGACAGAUUGAAGAAGAUGAACAAGAGGCAGAAAAUUGGCAGCAAAAGUGGGGAAAAGAUGGCUGCAUAUCAAAGGCCGAAUACGAAAAAUAUAUGAGAGAAUACGCAUACCGAGAUGAAUCGCGUCACAACUCUGGAAUAGAAAGAAGGUACGACAGAUUAGAGCGGAGAAUCGAGAGA